GGGAUGUUGUUAUGCACUGGAUUUAUAUAGAGUUUGGUGAUGAGCCAAACCUUUU
Molecule: non-coding RNA, 55 nt
Filed under: Tolypothrix tenuis PCC 7101
Lineage: Bacteria; Bacillati; Cyanobacteriota; Cyanophyceae; Nostocales; Tolypothrichaceae
Description: Tolypothrix sp. PCC 7101 Cyanobacteria heterocyst sRNA
Rfam family: Cyanobacteria heterocyst sRNA
Source: Rfam by way of RNAcentral